AUGUUCUCGAGUAGACAAAAUGAUAAGGACAAAUCGAGGAUCUUAUCAGCAGGGAAUACUUGGAACACCUUUAUCCUCCUCAUUUCAUCGGUAAAUUUGUGGUUGACCAGAAAGACGUCAUUCGGAGAAAUUGCUCGGUUACUUGGCGCUUUGACAAGAAUAUUGUACUUUGCACAUGAGAGUGAAUGGAGCAGGCGCACAACGUCGUCAUCGGGUAGAUUUAGUUGCGUCACAAUCUCAGAGUAA
Molecule: ribosomal RNA, 246 nt
Filed under: Triticum aestivum (bread wheat)
Lineage: Eukaryota; Viridiplantae; Streptophyta; Magnoliopsida; Poales; Poaceae
Description: partial small subunit ribosomal RNA
Source: RNAcentral